UUUAUACAACGAAGAGUUUGAUCCUGGCUCAGGAUGAACGCUAGCGGCAGGCCUAACACAUGCAAGUCGAACGGUAACAUGAGAGCUUGCUCUUGAUGACGAGUGGCGCACGGGUGCGUAACGCGUAUGCAAUCUACCUAUAACUGAGGAAUAGCCCAGAGAAAUUUGGAUUAAUACCUCAUAAUAAUAUUUUUUGGCAUCAUUAAAUAUUUAAAACUCCGGUGGUUAUAGAUGAGCAUGCGUUCUAUUAGUUUGUUGGUGAGGUAAAAGCUCACCAAGACUACGAUAGAUAGGGGGCCUGAAAGGGUGAUCCCCCACACUGGUACUGAGACACGGACCAGACUCCUACGGGAGGCAGCAGUGAGGAAUAUUGCACAAUGGAGGAAACUCUGAUGCAGCCAUGCCGCGUGCAGGACGAAUGCCCUAUGGGUUGUAAACUGCUUUUUUACAAGAAGAAACCUUGGUACGUGUACCAACUUGACGGUAUUGUAAGAAUAAGCACCGGCUAACUCCGUGCCAGCAGCCGCGGUAAUACGGAGGGUGCAAGCGUUAUCCGGAUUUAUUAGGUUUAAAGGGUUCGCAGGCGGAAUUUUAAGUCAGUGGUGAAAGCCUAUAGCUCAACUAUAGAAC
Molecule: ribosomal RNA, 630 nt
Filed under: Flavobacteriales bacterium
Lineage: Bacteria; Pseudomonadati; Bacteroidota; Flavobacteriia; Flavobacteriales
Description: bacterial SSU rRNA
Rfam family: Bacterial small subunit ribosomal RNA
Source: RNAcentral